RNAcentral lists this ribosomal RNA (65 nucleotides) under Fusarium solani. RNAcentral describes it as "partial 18S ribosomal RNA". It matches the Rfam family "Eukaryotic small subunit ribosomal RNA", at positions 1763 to 1827 of the family's 1831-position model. Lineage: Eukaryota; Fungi; Ascomycota; Sordariomycetes; Hypocreales; Nectriaceae. The record is from RNAcentral.
UCUUGGUCAUUUAGAGGAAGUAAAAGUCGUAACAAGGUCUCCGUUGGUGAACCAGCGGAGGGAUC